CCUACGGGGGGCAGCAGUCGAGAAUCAUUCACAAUGGGGGAAACCCUGAUGGUGCGACGCCGCGUGGGGGAAUGAAGGUCUUCGGAUUGUAAACCCCUGUCAUGUGGGAGCAAAUUAAAAAGAUAGUACCACAAGAGGAAGAGACGGCUAACUCUGUGACAGCAGCCGCGGUAAUACAGAGGUCGCAAGCGUUGUUCGGAAUCACUGGGCGUAAGGCGUGCGUAGGCGGUUUCUUAAGUCGUGUGUGAAAGGCGCGGGCUCAACCCGCGGGCGGCACAUGAUACUGGGAGACUAGAGUAAUGGAGGGGGGACCGGAAUUCUCGGUGUAGCAGUGAAAUGCGUAGAUAUCGGGAGGAACACUCGUGGCGAAGGCGGGUUCCUGGACAUUAACUGACGCUGAGGCACGAAGGCCAGGGGAGCGAAAGGGAUUAGAUACCCCUGUAGUC
Molecule: ribosomal RNA, 446 nt
Filed under: uncultured bacterium
Lineage: Bacteria
Description: partial 16S ribosomal RNA
Rfam family: Bacterial small subunit ribosomal RNA
Source: RNAcentral